GUCGAACGGAGGGAGUAAUCCCUCAGUGGCGAACGGUCGCGUAACACGUAGGCAACCUGCCCUGAAGUGGGGGACAACGGUCCGAAAGGGCCGCUAAUACCGCAUGUUGUCCGUGGUUGGCAUCAACCACGGUCCAAAGCAGUAAUGCGCUUCAGGAUGGGCUUGCGGCCUAUCAGGUAGUUGGUGGGGUAAUGGCCUACCAAGCCGACGACGGGUAGCUGGUCUGAGAGGACGAUCAGCCGGAUUGGGACUGAGAUACGGCCCAGACUCCUACGGGGGGCAGCAAUUAGGAAUCUUGCGCAAUGGGGGCAACCCUGACGCAGCGACGCCGCGUGCGGGAUGAAGGCAUUCGUGUCGUAAACCGCUUUUACCAGGGAAGAAGAAUGUGACGGUACCUGGUGAAUAAGCCCCGGCUAACUACGUGCCAGCAGCCGCGGUAAUACGUAGGGGGCGAGCGUUGUCCGAAGUUACUGGGCGUAAAGCGCGCGUAGGCGGCUCAUUAAGUCUGGGGUGAAAGGUUCAGCGCUCAACGCGAACAGUGCCCUGGAUACUGUUGAGCUUGGGUCCGGGAGGGGGCAGUGGAAUUCUUGGUGUAGCGGUGAAAUGCGUAGAUAUCAGGAGGAACACCGGUGGCGAAGGCGGCUGCCUGGCCUAGGACCGACGCUGAGGUGCGAAAGCGUGGGGAGCAAACGGGAUUAGAUACCCCGGUAGUCCACGCCGUAAACGAUGAGUGCUAGGUGUCA
RNAcentral lists this ribosomal RNA (743 nucleotides) under uncultured Armatimonadota bacterium. RNAcentral describes it as "bacterial SSU rRNA". It matches the Rfam family "Bacterial small subunit ribosomal RNA", at positions 61 to 825 of the family's 1533-position model. Lineage: Bacteria; Bacillati; Armatimonadota. The record is from RNAcentral.